This 485-nucleotide ribosomal RNA is filed under the name uncultured bacterium. RNAcentral's name for it is "bacterial SSU rRNA". It matches the Rfam family "Bacterial small subunit ribosomal RNA", at positions 24 to 507 of the family's 1533-position model. The record is from RNAcentral.
UCAGAUUGAACGCUGGCGGCAUGCCUUACACAUGCAAGUCGAACGGCAGCGGACCUUCGGGUGCCGGCGAGUGGCGAACGGGUGAGUAAUAUAUCGGAACGUACCUUUCAGUGGGGAUAACGUAGCGAAAGUUACGCUAAUACCGCAUAUUCUGUGAGCAGGAAAGCAGGGGAUCGCAAGACCUUGCGCUGAUUGAGCGGCCGAUAUCAGAUUAGCUAGUUGGUGAGGUAAAGGCUCACCAAGGCGACGAUCUGUAGCGGGUCUGAGAGGAUGAUCCGCCACACUGGAACUGAGACACGGUCCAGACUCCUACGGGAGGCAGCAGUGGGGAAUUUUGGACAAUGGGCGCAAGCCUGAUCCAGCCAUGCCGCGUGAGUGAAGAAGGCCUUCGGGUUGUAAAGCUCUUUCGGCCGGGAAGAAAUCGCACAGGUUAAUACCCUGUGUGGAUGACGGUACCGGAAUAAGAAGCACCGGCUAACUACGUG